This 446-nucleotide ribosomal RNA is filed under the name uncultured bacterium. Its description in RNAcentral is "partial 16S ribosomal RNA". It matches the Rfam family "Bacterial small subunit ribosomal RNA", at positions 338 to 795 of the family's 1533-position model. The record is from RNAcentral.
CCUACGGGAGGCAGCAGUCGAGAAUCAUUCACAAUGGGGGAAACCCUGAUGGUGCGACGCCGCGUGGGGGAAUGAAGGUCUUCGGAUUGUAAACCCCUGUCAUGUGGGAGCAAAUUAAAAAGAUAGUACCACAAGAGGAAGAGACGGCUAACUCGGUGCCCGCAGCUGCGGUAAUACAGAGGUCUCAAGAUUUGUUCGGAAUCACUGGGCGUAAAGCGUGCGUAGGCUGUUGCGUAAGUCGGGUGUGAAAGGCGCGGGCUCAACCCGCGGACGGCCCAUGAUACUGCGAGACUAGAGUAGUGGAGGGGGAACCGGAAUUCUCGGUGUAGCAGUGAAAUGCGUAGAUAUCGAAAGGAACACUCGUGGCGAAGGCGGGUUCCUGGACAUUAACUGACGCUGAGGCACGAAGGCCAGGGGAGCGAAAGGGAUUAGAUACCCUAGUAGUC